GAAAUGCGAUAAGUAAUGUGAAUUGCAGAAUUCCGUGAAUCAUCGAAUCUUUGAACGCACAUUGCGCCCUCUGUCAUUCCGGGGGGCAUGCCUGUCCGAGCGUCAUUACGCACCCUCAAGCCCGGCUUGUGUGAUGGGCCCCGGCGUCUCGUUCGCGAGACGGGCCCGAAAGGCAGCGGCGGCGUCGACCCGAUGAGCCCGAGCGUAUGGGGACUUCUGUCACACGUUCGCGGUGCGGACCGGCGCCUGCUUGACUUUUCUGAUUAUCCAGGUUGACCUCGGAUCAGGUAGGGAUACCCGCUGAACUUAAGC
This 312-nucleotide unclassified non-coding RNA is filed under the name plant metagenome. RNAcentral describes it as "partial contains 5.8S ribosomal RNA, internal transcribed spacer 2, and large subunit ribosomal RNA". The stretch from base 1 to 105 matches the Rfam family "5.8S ribosomal RNA", at positions 50 to 154 of the family's 154-position model. The record is from RNAcentral.